CGAUUAGAGUAAAAAUCAAUUAAAUGAUUUAUCUAUUAGCAAAAUAUUUAUUUACUUUUUUUAUAUUUUUUAUAAUCUAUUUCCAUAAAAUUAUUAUUAAAAAAACAAACGUGAUGUGUUAGCGAAUAAAAAUUAUUCAUUUAUCAUUUUACAAUAAUACGGUACAGCACGCGUCGUUUAUUAUUGUGCUAGUCGUUUUGCUUCAGCCAAAGUGACGCUUGUUUUACAGAGUUUCCAUAUGUGAAUCACCAUACAAUAAUAAAGUAAAUUUGGACAAAAAAAAUAAAUAAGUUUUUCUAUAAGACAGUCAAUGCGCAAAUGAAAUAAAAAUAUACAAUCAGACCAACUAGAGAGAACAGUCAAGAGACACGUGAUUAUCGUUUAUUUUAAUACUCAAGCAUCGGGAGACUUCAGAAAUGUAAGAUUGAAAUGAUUUUUCCUACGUGAAAAAAAAAAAAAAUUAAACACUACGAACAUAUCAUAUUAUCAACAAAAUAAAUAGUGAUAAAUUAAAUGAUUUUUUAGUAUUCGCUAGUAAAUAUUGUAUAUUUCGAAUAACGAAUUUUUUUUUAAUUAUAAAAGAAAAUAAUGCUUCUACACAAUAUAUAUUACACGUGUAAGACACGGGCGGUGGAGAGCGAUGAAAUCACAGUCGAACAAUAAUGUUUUAUCAAUGCUUAAAAAAUUGGACUGUAAAUUAUUUAUUCAGAUGACAUGAAAUUAUACAUGAAUACAUUCAAUCGAACAAGUUUCAAAGAACUUUCCAAUACAUUGCAUGCAAACGAUCGAAUCAUAGGAAUAGGAUCCACAACGACUUACAAGUAAUAUUAUUAUAUAUAAUACUUAUAUAACAUUCACGGUACUCUUAUUAUGAUCAAUUCAAGUGAUAGAAGAAUAAUAAUUGAAUCUACCGAUGGAAAAUUUUAUCAGGACUGAGUAAUUUUUUUACGCUACUCGUAAAUUUUCCUAUGCGUUCAAUAGACGUUUUAUCAAUAGAAAUAUUCUCCACUUUACUGAACACUUUAAAAACAGCCGAAAUUGAAGUUUUUAGACUUAUGUAGUACAAGUUUGAUAUUGCCAACAUAGAUGAAAAAAAUUGAGUGUUUUUAGGAAAUUAUUUUGUAAUUAUAGGAUAAUAAUGAGAUUAUAAUCACAUAUGAAUUCAUAAAAAGUAUAAUAGGGUCAUACCACGGUUGAACUUAACGUUUGUGCCAACAUGUGUUAACCCUUAGUUCAGGACAAUGUAUUCUGACUUAUGAAAACAUGAAAAAAAUGCACUACGUGAUGUUUGAAAUGUACACCAUAAGCUGCAAUAGAUUUUAAGAGGUAUGAACAAAACGAAAUAUUAUAAAAGAUAGAUGUAUUGUAUACACAGUAAUAAAAAAAAAUCACAAGCAAAUAUAGAUAAGACGCUAGUUGGACGAAGCGGCGCCCUUUACACUCUAUAUAUGAUCACAGGUGUGUUAUAUAUAUAACACACUUACAAUUAAAUUCUCGUAAAAUUUCAUACACAAUUAUCGAGUGUACGUUUUGCACUUGAGCUGAUACAAUAUCCAACUUUGUUAACGUGAGACGGGAAGAUGAUAACCGCCGUGAAUAGCGCGAGAAAAUAUUACUAUAUGUCCAUAACUAAAUUAUUACAUGGAAAAAGGCGGACGAUAAAUAUUAAUGUCGCAGCUUUAACAGUGCGCAUCCAUUUGUAUAUAUAGGUAUUAUACAAACAUUUCCACCAUUUUCUUUUCGAGAAAAAAUAUUUUCGUUUCAUGUGUAAUUUUUGUACACAAAAUUUGUCUGUUUUGGAUCGUCAAAAACCGGUUUCAAGGACAUCGAAGAAACUCAUGAAAUAGUUUUUUUUAUUUUGAAUAAAUGACAAUUUUCAUUUAAGUAGCGGUCGUAUCAAAUAAAAUCAGACUGACAAAAAAAAUAAAUAAAUAAAUAAAAAAGAACUAUCGUUUCAAAAUGAAUUUUGCUCGCAGUGUUCACCAAAAGAAAUUUGAAAAAAAAGUAGACGUUUUUUUUUAACUUUUACCUGUUUAGAAAAUAGAAUUUUUUUAGAAAAAGCUAACUAAACACGAUGAUAUUAAGACCCUGACCUUGGAUACUACACACGCACGCACGCACACCACAAUUCCAGUAAUCAUGCAAAAUGUAAGCUCUGACCAUCCGAAACAAUUGUGAACGGGGGCGGCAUAUUACAGGACACUAUAUCGUUACAUUGUUUCCACUGAUUAUGUUUGCUAUUCCUCUUUUGUUCUAUUCAAACACAAGCAAAUAAUAAUACCAGAAUGACAUACAACUUCCGUUAAAUAAAAAUUGCAAAUUAACUACUAACACAAAGCUUAAACCUAUUUAUUGUUUGUUUUCAAAUGAAAAAAAUUGUAACUAAACGGGAAAUAUUGCUCUCCUUUAUAACAUCAAACUGUCAAACUAUACACUACAUAUAUACAAAAAAAAUUACAAUCUGUACUUUGUGGUGGUGCUUUUAAUUUCCUUCCGGUGAGCCGACGGUUCGCUAUCGCGGGGGUGGCGACGUUGCCGGAUGCUGUUACUACCCGGAAACAUUUUAACAUUGUGCAGCAGUAUUCAGAUGGUACAGAUUGUGUCAUGAAUUAAUAUUUUAAGAAAAUGUUUGAUUGAUUUAAUUAAAUUUUUAAUUAAUACCAUAUUUAAUCAAAAGCAAAAUUAUACGACCUAUUGGGAAAAAAUGGUCAUAUUUUUAAAUUGUAUAUUUAAAAACGAACUUUUUUUUUUUACAAGAAAAUUUAUUAUUUUAUUUUUAGAGUAAAUGGAUUUGGCAUUAUAGACUAGCAUUUUGUGAGUAUGCCAAUAAUUGUGGUUUUAUCCCGCAAAACAUUUUAUUAUCAAAAUGUACUUAUAAAAAUUGUGUAAUAAAACGCAUUCAAACAUUAAGAAUUUAAUUAUUUCAUCUAUAAUAGCUGAACAACUA
Long non-coding RNA from Daktulosphaira vitifoliae (grape phylloxera), 2947 nucleotides. RefSeq lists it as uncharacterized. The record is from RefSeq and is a predicted model, not a curated record. NCBI's taxonomy places the organism in Eukaryota, Metazoa, Arthropoda, Insecta, Hemiptera, Phylloxeridae. The transcript is spliced from 5 exons.